This 445-nucleotide ribosomal RNA is filed under the name uncultured bacterium. RNAcentral's name for it is "partial 16S ribosomal RNA". It matches the Rfam family "Bacterial small subunit ribosomal RNA", at positions 354 to 796 of the family's 1533-position model. The record is from RNAcentral.
GUGAGGAAUAUUGGUCAAUGGGCGAGAGCCUGAACCAGCCAAGUCGCGUGAAGGAAGAAGGAUCUAUGGUUCGUAAACUUCUUUUGCAGGGGAAUAAAGUGCGGGACGUGUCCUGUUUUGUAUGUACCCUGAGAAUAAGGAUCGGCUAACUCCGUGCCAGCAGCCGCGGUAAUACGGAGGAUCCGAGCGUUAUCCGGAUUUAUUGGGUUUAAAGGGUGCGUAGGUGGUUUGAUAAGUCAGCGGUGAAAGUUUGCAGCUUAACUGUAAAAAUGCCGUUGAAACUGUCGGACUUGAGUGUAAAUGAGGUAGGCGGAAUGUGUUGUGUAGCGGUGAAAUGCAUAGAUAUAACACAGAACACCAAUUGCGAAGGCAGCUUACUGGGAUGCAACUGACGCUGAGGCACGAAAGCGUGGGGAUCAAACAGGAUUAGAAACCCCGGUAGUCC